GCUGUCUGGUCUGCCUGUGUCGGCCUUCCUUCUCGGGUUGAUACCCCGAGCUGUUGGCCACCUGUGGUACAGAAAUGGGCCUUGUGGCCGCGGCUGUAACACUUCUUACGGUCGUGCGUGCACUUGUGUUCAUGCGCCUGGGCGCUGGAUGGGCUGCCUCGGAACUUGCGCAGUCAGUAACGUGCUGCGUGAGGGAUGAGGUGUGUUUUGUAAACUGGUCCAGCUAGUCUCGGGUACGUUACGCCCCACUCCCUUCGGGUGAGUCUGUUUGCGCUUUCUAAAUUUGGAUCACUCAAGCCUGAGAGGUCACGCCGCUGGAAGUAGUUUUGGGCUCGUCGGACACUCCCCGCAAGGGUCGAGAGACUGGCUAGAGCCUGGGAUGAAAACGGUAUAGUGACCAGGAUGGCUCUGGCAAUGUCGCGCCCCCUGGGCAGGCUUUGUCAACUUUACAACUGC
RNAcentral lists this ribosomal RNA (456 nucleotides) under Dogielius catlaius. RNAcentral's name for it is "partial 18S ribosomal RNA". The record is from RNAcentral. Lineage: Eukaryota; Metazoa; Platyhelminthes; Monogenea; Dactylogyridea; Dactylogyridae.